RNAcentral lists this unclassified non-coding RNA (325 nucleotides) under soil metagenome. RNAcentral describes it as "partial contains 5.8S ribosomal RNA, internal transcribed spacer 2, and large subunit ribosomal RNA". The stretch from base 1 to 119 matches the Rfam family "5.8S ribosomal RNA", at positions 35 to 154 of the family's 154-position model. The record is from RNAcentral.
GAUGAAGACGUAGCGAAAUGCGAUAAGUAAUGUGAAUUGCAGAAUUCAGUGAAUCAUCGAAUCUUUGAACGCACAUUGCGCCCCUUGGUAUUCCGAGGGGCAUGCCUGUUCGAGCGUCAUAUUAACCACUCCCGCUUGCGGGGUCUUGGGCUUCGCCUCCGGGCGGGCCUUAAAAUCAGUGGCGGUGCCGUCGGGCUCUACGCGUAGUAAAUUUUCUCGCGAUAGGGUCCCGGUGGAUGCUUGCCAACAACCCCCAACUUCUUAAGGUUGACCUCGGAUCAGGUAGGGAUACCCGCUGAACUUAAGCAUAUCAAUAAGCGGAGGA